GAGUUUGAUCCUGGCUCAGAUUGAACGCUGGCGGCAGGCCUAACACAUGCAAGUCGAACGGUAACAUUUCUAGCUUGCUAGAAGAUGACGAGUGGCGGACGGGUGAGUAAUGCUUGGGAACUUGCCUUUGCGAGGGGGAUAACAGUUGGAAACGACUGCUAAUACCGCAUAAUGUCUACGGACCAAACGGGGCUUAGGCUCCGGCGCAAAGAGAGGCCCAAGUGAGAUUAGCUAGUUGGUAAGGUAAUGGCUUACCAAGGCAACGAUCUCUAGCUGUUCUGAGAGGAAGAUCAGCCACACUGGAACUGAGACACGGUCCAGACUCCUACGGGAGGCAGCAGUGGGGAAUAUUGCACAAUGGGGGAAACCCUGGUGCAGCCAUGCCGCGUGUGUGAAGAAGGCCUUCGGGUUGUAAAGCACUUUCAGUUGUGAGGAAAAGUUAGUAGUUAAUACCUGCUAGCCGUGACGUUAACAACAGAAGAAGCACCGGCUAACUCCGUGCCAGCAGCCGCGGUAAUACGGAGGGUGCGAGCGUUAAUCGGAAUUACUGGGCGUAAAGCGCACGCAGGCGGUUUGUUAAGCUAGAUGUGAAAGCCCCGGGCUCAACCUGGGAUAGUCAUUUAGAACUGGCAGACUAGAGUCUUGGAGAGGGGAGUGGAAUUCCAGGUGUAGCGGUGAAAUGCGUAGAUAUCUGGAGGAACAUCAGUGGCGAAGGCGACUCCCUGGCCAAAGACUGACGCUCAUGUGCGAAAGUGUGGGUAGCGAACAGGAUUAGAUACCCUGGUAGUCCACACCGUAAACGCUGUCUACUAGCUGUUUGUGACUUCAAGUCGUGAGUAGCGAAGCUAACGCGCUAAGUAGACCGCCUGGGGAGUACGGCCGCAAGGUUAAAACUCAAAUGAAUUGACGGGGGCCCGCACAAGCGGUGGAGCAUGUGGUUUAAUUCGAUGCAACGCGAAGAACCUUACCUACACUUGACAUGCUGAGAACUUUCCAGAGAUGGAUUGGUGCCUUCGGGAACUCAGACACAGGUGCUGCAUGGCUGUCGUCAGCUCGUGUCGUGAGAUGUUGGGUUAAGUCCCGCAACGAGCGCA
RNAcentral lists this ribosomal RNA (1094 nucleotides) under uncultured Gammaproteobacteria bacterium. RNAcentral's name for it is "bacterial SSU rRNA". It matches the Rfam family "Bacterial small subunit ribosomal RNA", at positions 9 to 1100 of the family's 1533-position model. Lineage: Bacteria; Pseudomonadati; Pseudomonadota; Gammaproteobacteria. The record is from RNAcentral.